Molecule: transfer RNA, 72 nt
Filed under: Vicugna pacos (alpaca)
Lineage: Eukaryota; Metazoa; Chordata; Mammalia; Artiodactyla; Camelidae
Description: tRNA-Val (AAC) (tRNA-Val-AAC-14-1)
Rfam family: tRNA
About the family: Transfer RNA (tRNA) molecules are approximately 80 nucleotides in length. Their secondary structure includes four short double-helical elements and three loops (D, anti-codon, and T loops). Further hydrogen bonds mediate the characteristic L-shaped molecular structure. tRNAs have two regions of fundamental functional importance: the anti-codon, which is responsible for specific mRNA codon recognition, and the 3' end, to which the tRNAs corresponding amino acid is attached (by aminoacyl-tRNA synthetases). tRNAs cope with the degeneracy of the genetic code in two manners: having more than one tRNA (with a specific anti-codon) for a particular amino acid; and 'wobble' base-pairing, i.e. permitting non-standard base-pairing at the 3rd anti-codon position.
Source: Rfam by way of RNAcentral
GGGGGUAUGGCUCAGUGGUAGAGCACGUGCUUAACAUGCACAAGGUCCUGGGUUCAAUCCCCAGUACCUCCA